RNAcentral lists this ribosomal RNA (397 nucleotides) under uncultured bacterium. RNAcentral's name for it is "bacterial SSU rRNA". It matches the Rfam family "Bacterial small subunit ribosomal RNA", at positions 29 to 429 of the family's 1533-position model. The record is from RNAcentral.
AUUGAACGCUGGCGGCAUGCCUUACACAUGCAAGUCGAACGGCAGCACGGGGGCAACCCUGGUGGCGAGUGGCGAACGGGUGAGUAACACAUCGGAACGUACCCAGUUGUGGGGGAUAACCAGUCGAAAGACGGGCUAAUACCGCAUGAUCUGGCGACAGCAAAGCGGGGGAUCGGCAACGACCUCGCGCGAUUGGAGCGGCCGAUGUCCGAUUAGCUAGUUGGUGGGGAAAGGCCCACCAAGGCUUUGAUCGGUAGCUGGUCUGAGAGGAUGAUCAGCCACACUGGGACUGAGACACGGCCCAGACUCCUACGGGAGGCAGACAGUGGGGAAUUUUGGACAAUGGGGGCAACCCUGAUCCAGCCAUGCCGCGUGAGUGAAGAAGGCCUGGUGUAAG